Molecule: unclassified non-coding RNA, 219 nt
Filed under: Hevea brasiliensis (rubber tree)
Lineage: Eukaryota; Viridiplantae; Streptophyta; Magnoliopsida; Malpighiales; Euphorbiaceae
Source: RNAcentral
GAGACACCCAGGUCAAUGGAAACCACAUCACAGUCCAAUCAUGAAUCGAUCCCAGGUGAUCAGAUUGAGUCAUAUAAUGCUAACCAGAACUAUGGUGGUUCAGAGGCUAUUACAGAUGAUAUGGAGCAUGACCAAGAUCUUGAUGGGGUUUUUGGUCCCAAUGCUGAGGACGAGUACAUGCAUGAAACGCCUGAGGAUGCACGAGGUCUUGAAAAUGGC